Molecule: ribosomal RNA, 348 nt
Filed under: Triticum aestivum (bread wheat)
Lineage: Eukaryota; Viridiplantae; Streptophyta; Magnoliopsida; Poales; Poaceae
Description: partial small subunit ribosomal RNA
Source: RNAcentral
AUGAGCGCCGCCGCGGUGGCAAUCUCGUCGGGCCCGAGUUCCGAGAGGCUAGAGGCCAUCAUCACCGGCGCCGCCAGCGGCAUGGGCAAGGCGACCGCCGCGGAGUUCGUCAGGAACGGCGCCAAGGUCAUCCUCACCGACAUCCAGGACGACCUCGGCCGCGCAGUCGCCGCCGAGCUCGGCCCCGACGCCUCCUACGCCCGCUGCGACGUGACCAACGAGGAGCAGAUCGCCGCGGCCGUCGACCUCGCGGUGGCGCGCCACGGCCGGCUCGACGUCCUGCACAACCACGCCGGGGUCGCCGGGAGGAUGACCUUGGACUCCGUCGCGUCCCUCGACCUCGCGUAG